Long non-coding RNA from Mus musculus (house mouse), 4109 nucleotides. RefSeq annotates it as predicted gene 42458. The transcript has 2 exons. The record is from RefSeq and is a predicted model, not a curated record. Lineage: Eukaryota; Metazoa; Chordata; Mammalia; Rodentia; Muridae.
ACUUUGGGCAAGUCUUUAAAUGUGAGUCAGCUUUCGGCUGAUCCCUGGGAAAAAUUCCUUCGGUGUUGUCAGGCAGGGUUCGCUAGCUGUAGCUUUUUUUUUUUUCCGCCCCCAACAAUUCAAAAGGGAUAAUCCUACUGAAUGGGGGAAGGCAUUCGGACCCUGUCCGGGGUCCCCAACCAGAGGCCCCUUUAACUCUGAGGUGGGGCCCCUCCUCGAAGCUGAUUUCUGCAGGGUCAGGACCCUAGCCCUCUUCCCCCCACCGCCCCCAUCGCGUGCCCCAUAGCGACUUCAGCAUUGCACACAAGGGCCAGGGGGCACCCAGGCCUCAGGGGACGCAGCGCCAUAAGACAGCAGGAAGGCUUGCUUCCCAGGGCUGCCUCUUGGCCCUCUCAGAUUCCAGGCUUGGAUCCAGCAUAGGGGUGGUCACUUACCACCUCUCUAAGCUUAGAUUCCUCUUUGGCAAAGCAAAAGACUUAUGCUAGUUUGGUCUUUCCAGCUUGCUUGGGCAAGCCCUUUUUGCAUUCUUGGCCUCAGUUUCCACGGAAGAGGGUCAAGUUGAUGUGGAAGCGUCCCGAAGCAUCCUUCCAGUUCUAUUUGUGCCCCUCGGGAAGCCCACGAGCUUGGGGUUCACACAGCCCGGUUUCUCACUACACAACUGCGGAGAGACGCCACGUGUCAUCUCAGAGACAUCCAGCAGCCGGGUGUGAAGGGGGUGGGGGCCACCAAAAAAAAAAAAAAAAAAGGCUAAAGGCUGAAGGAAAUAAGCAGGCACUUGAGGAUUUACGUGUAAUUUGGUUUUAAAUGAACAUCUUGUGCAGAAGAAGAGGCAAUUUGGCACCUGCUGCUGAUGGAUAGAAAUUGGGUGUCUGCUGCCCAUCAGCUGAGACUGCCACAGAGCACUUGUUUGGUAACAAGGUUUCCAUGUCGGCCUGGGAAUCAGUAUUGUUUCCUUCAUUUCUUCACAUUGGAGCUUGCCCUGCCUUGGCCCCCUCAGCUGGCCACCAUUCCCCACCCCACCCCCAUCUUCAUGUCUCCACCUCAGCUAGCUCCUUCCAACAUCCUCUGAGUCAAAUGGAUUGUGCUGCACCUUGGACAAGCUUGUAGACCUUGGUAAAGAAAAUGAAGCCAAACCAGACGGGACAAUUUCUUUCUCACCCCUUCAGAUCUCCCUGCUUCUGUGAGGCAUUUAUUGAGGUAGGAGGAAAGGAACAAGCUGAAGGAAAGAAAGGGCCAUAAUCACAAAGGAAAGGGUUUUUUUUUUUUUAAUUCCUUCUGCUGGGGAAUUGGUUCAGUUGGACCCCGAGGAGGUCCUCAGCACCCUGGUAAAAAGCUAGCAUUUGUAAUUGCAGCACUAGGGAAGCUGAGACAGGAGGAUGCCCAGAACUUGCUGGCCACCUUGACUAACCAAAUCAAUAAACUCCAGUUCAGUUCCUUGACUCAAAGAAAAAAAAAUGAGAUGGAAGAGAGCAAUCGAGGAAGAUGCCCAACAUCAGUCGACCUUUGACCUCUGCAUUCAUCUACAUGUUUUCAUGCGCACUCACUCUCUUGUCUCUCCCUGUCUCUGUCUCAUUCUCUCUCACACAUGAGCAGGGCCAUGCAGUCAUUUUGUGCUACAUUAAAAAAAAAGAAAGAAAGAAAGAAAGAAAGAAAGAAAGAAAGAAAGAAAGAAAGAAAGAAAGAAAGAAUUCCUGAAGACCAUGGAAACAUAAUGAAGUUUGGUUCUGCUGGGGCGCACAAAACAGCUCUCGGAGGGACCACAUCUGCAAUGCCCCACAAGGAAGGAAAGAGGUUUUCUGUUGCAUGUGUAGGCUAGGAGGAACGACAUGCACAGUAGUCAGGUGCCGGACGUGUCAACAGCUCAGUUGAUUGGCCGAACUGAAGCUGCAUGGGAUGGUUGGUUGUGAUAAAGAUGUUGGAGCUCGUUCCUAGGGAGUGGAGAGCAGCUUGAAUUGUUGGGGGAGAUCAGCAGUGAAGAACAUUGCCUUUCAGACUUCGGGUUUCAGAGUGAGAGUCAUUAACACUGAAAGAUGGAAUAGGUGACCAUAGAAUGGAACAGAAGACCUCAAAGUACAUGCAUGCAUAUGCUUCACAAAAUACAUGUGCUUGUAUGAUUGUGCGUGUUCUAGAUCAUGAUACAAAAUGCAUUUGCUGGAGUCUUGCCUAAAAAUUGUCGGAAGCCUUUGCAUAUCUUUCAGGCUGAAUCAGGAAGGAUGGGUAGAGAGGAAACUAUAGGAGGGUCAUGCAAACAAGGCAGGGGACUUGGUCUCCUCCAGUGUCUGCGGCAGCCCCACACAGCCCUAGAGCGAUCUGUGACACUGUAAGUUAAAUAUGAUAGUCGUUUCCUACUAACCUGGCAGAACAUAAUGCUAUUACUGUGGUCCAAAUGUUAGGGUAGUGUGCUCAUGGACUGCUAAGCAUCAUCCUGAUGGAUAUGGGAGUAGCCAUCCCUGCAGGUUGAGUACAGAGAGCCUUACAUUCAAAGCCCAGAAAAAGGCUAUUGUGUAACCUCUUAUGACCAGUGUUGCCAGUGCCCUAACAGAGUUACCUCUAGGGGAGCUUUAGGGAAAACUGCAGAUACUUCUUGCUCCAAUGCAAACACAACUCUCCUGCUGGCUUCAGAAAAACUGGAGAGUGUCUGGCUACCACCUGCCCAGCCACAUCCCUGGUGAUUUAAAACUGUCUUUAAGAGUUUCCAUUUGCCUUUCCUGGUAGCUUUAAAUGCAACUGAAGCCUGUUUACUUGUCAGGCAUAAGAUGUUUGAUUGGGGUUAGGUAAAGUCCUGGGGGGCUGGGGGGAGUGGCAUGAGUUCCACCAGGGGAAGAUUUCUUACAGUGAAGGAGUGUGUGCAGGUUGAAGAAAGGACAUGGACAAGGUAGAGAAGAGAGAACACUUAGGCUCCAAAGAAAGGCGAUGUGGGACAACAUGGUUCAGAUUGCUUCAUUUGUAAGGUAACUGACACGUUUGAUUCACAUUGAGCACACCCACAUUCUCCUUGCCUAUCUAUGCCCACACCCAGCCCCAUGUAUAUAGUACAGAUAGCUCCCAGUUCAGUUUACAUAACCAGGGGCACAGCCUACAGCUACACCCCCAGAGCAAACAUACCCACGCCUGCUCUUUGGACUCCACGGAAGUAUACAUCCUUCCUAUAGGGGCUGGGAUUUCUCCAGUUCUUUUGAUUUUGACUGGUUCCUUGCCCAUAAGAUAAAGAGCAACUCACACAGUGAAUAACGCUGUGUGGCAAAGCCCUGAGCUAGGCAUCGUGCAGAGUCAACAAAUUCUGAUAAUAUUAUCACUGUUUGUAGCUAAGACCUUGAGACAAGGAUAUGCAUGUCCAAGUUCCUGUAGACUGUGAUGCCACGCUCCAUCUCUAAGACACCCCACUUUCUCCAGUUCCCCUCAGGAGCUGCUUUCCAGGAGAGCUUGGCAUACCAUCUGUGCCUCCUCCCAUUCUGUCUCAUGAACAUCCUGGUCCAUCUACUGCAGAAACCCGGGCUAGAUCUUCCCUUAAGCGUCCCACUCACCAUUUCUGUCUGGACUGGAGAUGUGAGCUGACUCAUUUCUCCAUGCAUUUUUUCGAGACUGUACUUCUUCAGUCACUCAUACAAUGUCAAGUUUUACUACUGUUUCCCCCAGGAGACUCAUUUCUACUUGUUGGGGUGAGGUUGAAGAUUUCAAAUCUGUCUUCCUGCAGAUGUUUCAAGGCAGGCCUGACAGCAUCCUUAAUCCUCUUGUCUCCAGACUGAGCAUGCUCAGUUUGGUAUUUGGGUUGGUACUACCAGUCAUAUUAGUGUCAUUUGUAAGUCACAUGUGAGUGAAGGGCAGAACUGUGAGCAUUGGCUAUUUGCCAACUCAACCCCCUUCAACAUUAGCGAGUUUCAUAUUCAACCUGUGAGCUGAAAACGCUUCCGUUUUACAAAAGGAGAAAAAAAGAAAAAAGAAACUUGUGAGGUGUAGAGCUUAGGCCAAGGUUAGAAUGAGCAGAAAUGGUACAUUAACCUUUUAUCAGACAGACAUAUUCUGUUCUCCUGGAAUGUCACCAGGGCGUUGACAAUAGUGAACCUAAGGUACAGGCAUGUCAUCUCUAAUAAAACAUGAUUUUAUCUCUA